RNAcentral lists this transfer RNA (72 nucleotides) under Sus scrofa (pig). It matches the Rfam family "tRNA". From Rfam's summary of the family: Transfer RNA (tRNA) molecules are approximately 80 nucleotides in length. Their secondary structure includes four short double-helical elements and three loops (D, anti-codon, and T loops). Lineage: Eukaryota; Metazoa; Chordata; Mammalia; Artiodactyla; Suidae. The record is from Rfam by way of RNAcentral.
UCUCUGGUGGUCUAGUGGUUAAGAUUCUCCAUUUUCACUGUUGUGACCCUGGUUCAAUCCCUGGUCAGGAAA